CUACGGGGGGCUGCAGUAGGGAAUCUUCCACAAUGGGCGCAAGCCCGAUGCAGCCAUGCCGCGUGUGUGAAGAAGGCCUUCGGGUUGUAAAGCACUUUCAGCGGGGAGGAAGGCGUUAAGGUUAAUAACCUUGGCGAUUGACGUUACCCGCAGAAGAAGCACCGGCUAACUCCGUGCCAGCAGCCGCGGUAAUACGGAGGGUGCAAGCGUUAAUCGGAAUUACUGGGCGUAAAGCGCACGCAGGCGGUCUGUCAAGUCGGAUGUGAAAUCCCCGGGCUCAACCUGGGAACUGCAUUCGAAACUGGCAGGCUAGAGUCUUGUAGAGGGGGGUAGAAUUCCAGGUGUAGCGGUGAAAUGCGUAGAGAUCUGGAGGAAUACCGGUGGCGAAGGCGGCCCCCUGACAAAGACUGACGCUCAGGUGCGAAAGCGUGGGGAGCAAACAGGAUUAGAUACCCCAGUAGUC
Molecule: ribosomal RNA, 463 nt
Filed under: uncultured Klebsiella sp.
Lineage: Bacteria; Pseudomonadati; Pseudomonadota; Gammaproteobacteria; Enterobacterales; Enterobacteriaceae
Description: bacterial SSU rRNA
Rfam family: Bacterial small subunit ribosomal RNA
Source: RNAcentral